CACACCGCCCGUCACAUCACGAAAGUUGUCUGUACCGGAAGCCGGUGGGCUAACCCGCAAGGGAGGCAGCCGUCCAUGGUAUGGAGAGCGAUUGGGGUG
RNAcentral lists this ribosomal RNA (99 nucleotides) under uncultured bacterium. RNAcentral's name for it is "partial 16S ribosomal RNA". It matches the Rfam family "Bacterial small subunit ribosomal RNA", at positions 1386 to 1482 of the family's 1533-position model. The record is from RNAcentral.